UUGGAGGGCAAGUCUGGUGCCAGCAGCCGCGGUAAUUCCAGCUCCAAUAGCGUAUAUUAAAGUUGUUGCAGUUAAAAAGCUCGUAGUUGAAUUUCGGGGUUAGUAGGCUGGUCAUGCCACAGGUAUGCACUGGUCUUACUGAUUCCUCCUUCCUGAUGAACCGUAAUGCCAUUAAUUUGGUGUUGCGGGGAGUCUGGACUGUUACUUUGAAAAAAUUAGAGUGUUUAAAGCAGGCUAACGCUUGAAUACAUUAGCAUGGAAUAACGAAAUAGGACGUUCGAUCUUAUUUUGUUGGUUUCUAGGAUUGACGUAAUGAUUAAUAGGGAUAGUUGGGGGCAUUAGUAUUCAAUUGUCAGAGGUGAAAUUCUUGGAUUUAUUGAAGACUAACUACUGCGAAAGCAUUUGCCAAGGAUGUUUUCAUUAAUCAAGAACGAAAGUUAGGGGAUCGAAGACGAUCAGAUACCGUCGUAGUCUUAACCAUAAACUAUGCCGACUAGGGAUCGGAUGAUGUUAAUUUUAUAAUGACUCAUUCGGCGCCUUACGGGAAAC
This 549-nucleotide ribosomal RNA is filed under the name Rhizophagus intraradices. RNAcentral describes it as "SSU rRNA". It matches the Rfam family "Eukaryotic small subunit ribosomal RNA", at positions 548 to 1098 of the family's 1831-position model. The record is from RNAcentral. Lineage: Eukaryota; Fungi; Glomeromycota; Glomeromycetes; Glomerales; Glomeraceae. RNAcentral also lists the same sequence under 6 other names.